This 335-nucleotide unclassified non-coding RNA is filed under the name soil metagenome. Its description in RNAcentral is "partial contains 5.8S ribosomal RNA, internal transcribed spacer 2, and large subunit ribosomal RNA". The stretch from base 1 to 120 matches the Rfam family "5.8S ribosomal RNA", at positions 35 to 154 of the family's 154-position model. The record is from RNAcentral.
GAUGAAGAACGUAGCGAAAUGCGAUAAGUAAUGUGAAUUGCAGAAUUCAGUGAAUCAUCGAAUCUUUGAACGCACAUUGCGCCCGCUAGUAUUCUAGCGGGCAUGCCUGUUCGAGCGUCAUUUCAACCAUCAAGCCCCAGGCUUGUGUUGGAGCCCUGCGACCGUCUGCAGCCUCCUAAAAUCAGUGGCGGGCUCGCUAUCACACCGAGUGCAGUAGUUUACUCUUCGCUCAGGACGUGUAGCGGGUUCCGGCCGUGAAACCCCCCAAUUUUCAAGGUUGACCUCGGAUCAGGUAGGAAUACCCGCUGAACUUAAGCAUAUCAAUAAGCGGAGGA